Molecule: ribosomal RNA, 497 nt
Filed under: uncultured bacterium
Lineage: Bacteria
Description: partial 16S ribosomal RNA
Rfam family: Bacterial small subunit ribosomal RNA
Source: RNAcentral
GAUGAACGCUGGCGGCGUGCCUAAUACAUGCAAGUCGAGCGAACAGAUGAGGAGCUUGCUCCUCUGACGUUAGCGGCGGACGGGUGAGUAACACGUGGAUAACCUACCUAUAAGACUGGGAUAACUUCGGGAAACCGGAGCUAAUACCGGAUAAUAUAUUGAACCGCAUGGUUCAAUAGUGAAAGACGGUUUUGCUGUCACUUAUAGAUGGAUCCGCGCCGCAUUAGCUAGUUGGUAAGGUAACGGCUUACCAAGGCAACGAUGCGUAGCCGACCUGAGAGGGUGAUCGGCCACACUGGAACUGAGACACGGUCCAGACUCCUACGGGAGGCAGCAGUAGGGAAUCUUCCGCAAAGGGCGAAAGCCUGACGGAGCAACGCCGCGUGAGUGAUGAAGGUCUUCGGAUCGUAAAACUCUGUUAUUAGGGAAGAACAAAUGUGUAAGUAACUAUGCACGUCUUGACGGUACCUAAUCAGAAAGCCACGGCUAACUACGUA